AUCACUCAGGAAGAGUGGGCAUUGAUGGAUCCUUCACAGAAGAAUCUCUACAAAGAUGUGAUGCUGGAGACCUAUAUGAACCUCAUUGCUAUAGGCUACAAUUGGGAAGAUCUUAAAGUUGAAGAACAUUGUCAAAGUUCUCAAAAACAUGGAAGGCAUAAAAGAAGUCAUAC
Long non-coding RNA from Onychomys torridus (southern grasshopper mouse), 173 nucleotides. RefSeq lists it as uncharacterized. The record is from RefSeq and is a predicted model, not a curated record. Lineage: Eukaryota; Metazoa; Chordata; Mammalia; Rodentia; Cricetidae. The transcript has 3 exons.